GACGAACGCUGGCGGCGUGCUUAACACAUGCAAGUCGAACGGAAAGGCCCUGCUUUUGUGGGGUGCUCGAGUGGCGAACGGGUGAGUAACACGUGAGUAACCUGCCCUUGACUUUGGUAUAACUUCAGGAAACUGGGGCUAAUACCGUAUAGGAUCUCCUGCUGCAUGGUGGGGGUUGGAAAGUUUCGGCGGUUGGGGAUGGACGCGCGGCUUAUCAGCUUGUUGGUUGGGUAGUGGCUUACCAAGGCUUUGACGGGUAGCCGGCCUGAGAGGGUGACCGGCCACAUUGGGACUGAGAUACGGACCAGACUCCUACGGGAGGCAGCAGUGGGGAAUAUUGCCCAAUGGGCGGAAGCCUGAUGCAGCAACGCCGCGUGCGGGAUGACGGCCUUCGGGUUGUAAACCGCUUUCGCCUGUGACGAAGCGUGAGUGACGGUAAUGGGUAAAGAAGCACCGGCUAACUACGUG
This 468-nucleotide ribosomal RNA is filed under the name uncultured bacterium. RNAcentral's name for it is "partial 16S ribosomal RNA". It matches the Rfam family "Bacterial small subunit ribosomal RNA", at positions 28 to 507 of the family's 1533-position model. The record is from RNAcentral.